CACUAAGCGGAGGAAAAGAAACUAACGAGGAUUCCCUCAGUAACGGCGAGCGAAGCGGGAAGAGCCCAUCUCCGAACCGGCGCGGGGCGCGAGCCUCGUCACGAGCGCCGGAGUGUGGAGUGUGGGGACCGGGCCUCUGGCCCCACCCCGGUUGGCGACGCCGCCAAAUCCCAAGCCCGCGCGCAAGUCCCCUCGAACGGGGCCACGGCCCGAAGAGGGUGCCAGGCCCGUAGGCGCGGCGGCGGCGGAGCCUCGGGGGUCCCGGAGAGUCGGGUUGCUUGGGAGUGCAGCCCCAAGUGGGUGGUAAACUCCACCCAAGGCUAAACACGACCGCGAGACCGAUAGCGAACAAGUACCGCGAGGGAAAGUUGAAAAGAACUUUGGAGAGAGAGUUCAAGAGGGCGUGAAACCGCUCGGGUGAAAAACGGGUGGAACCUCGAAGGUCGACGGGGGAGUCAGGCCCUCGGCCCCGGGUGCCGCGUCGUGGUUUUUCGGAUGGCUCCCGGUGUCAAACCGGCCUGUCCUCUUCCUUUUUCCCCUCGGGGAGGGAGGAGGGGGGUAGCAGGCUCCGGGACUGCCUCCGGCCCCGCGGUUCUCCGGUUUUUUUGGUCCGGGGAGUCCGCACUUCCCCCGGUAGGACGCCGCCUCCGGUUGCUUCAUUUCAAAUGGGAGGCCUACGGCCCGGGUCGCUAGCAGGGUCCCUGGUUGUCCCGGCGCCCGGUGUCCCGGCCUCCCGGCGACCGAUAAAAGAGAUUUUAAUGAUUCGGCGGGCACACGCUCGGAGCAAACGCCGCGUUUUUCCGGUCCGGCGCUACGGUCCCCCGCGCGGGCGGGCAGGGUCCUCUAAUCGUGCGGAGCCGUCGCGAGACGACCCGCCGGAGGCCCGGCCGUCGGCCCGGCGGAGGAGUCGGCCGGCCGGCGCCGAGCAGACCCCGAGAUGAGAGAGGGCGGCGAGCAUGUUCGGCGGUCCACCCGCCCCGUCUUGAAACACGGGCCAAGGAGUCUAACACGUGCGCGAGUCCUCGGGUUUUAAACUAACUAAACCCGGAGGCGGAGCGAAAGCGAAGGCCUCGCAACCAAAGCGGGCCGAGGGGAGAUCCGGAAGGCCGAUGCCAGUGGGCCACGCGGCCGUCGGGGAGCCCGCUCCCCGCGCCGUCAGCCCGGUGUUCAAAACCUGCCGACCGGCGCAUCCUCGGGGCGUGCCGAACCCGGCAGAGGGUCGGGGCGCACCCAGAGCGCACGCGUCGGGACCCGAAAGAUGGUGAUCUAUGCCUGGCCAGGACGAAGCCGGGGAAAACUCGGUGGAGGUCCGCAGCGGUUCUGACGUGCAAAUCGAUCGUCGGAGCUGGGUAUAGGGGCGAAAGACCAAACGAACCAUCUAGUAGCUGGUUCCCUCCGAAGUUUCCCUCAGGAUAGCUGGCGCUCGCCGGAACGGAGUCUCAUCCGGUAAAGCGACUGAUUGGAGGAACCCGGGUCGCUGGGACCUGGACCUACUCUCAAACUUUGAAUGGGUGAGAAGCCGGGCAAGCCCGAGACGGUCGUAGCCCGAGCACUGACUGGAUCCGAGCGCCCAGUGGGCCACUUUUGGUAAGCAGAACUGGCGCUGUGGGAUGAACCAAACGCCGGGUUAAGGCGCCCGAAUCGCCGCUCAUGGGAUCCCAUGAAAGGCGUCGGCGGCUAAAGACAGCAGGACGGUGGCCAUGGAAGUCGGCAUCCGCCAAGGAGUGUGUAACGACUCACCUGCCGAAGCCACCGGCCCUGAAAAUGGAUGGCGCUGAAGCGGCGUGCCCAUACCCGGCCGUCGUGGCAGAGCAUGCCCGGCAAAAAAGCCUGGGAAAAAAUGGGGGUAUCCGUUUUUUAUUUUUCUGAAUUUGUAUUUGUUGGGUUUUUAAAAGAGUCCCUCCCCUUUUCACACGUUAGGUUUUAAAACACAGGCCAAUUUAAGCCGCGACGAGUAGGAGGGCGCGGCGGUGGCGCAGAAGGGUCCGGGCGCGAGCCCGCCUGGAGCCGCCGCCGGUGCAGAUCUUGGUGGUAGUAGCAAAGAAUCCGGCGAGAUCCCGGAGGACCGAUGUGGAGUAGGGUUUCGUGGCGCCGGCAAUCGGCCACGAGUGAGUCGAUCCUAAGCCCGGAGACAAUUCCGGUCAGCGGAGGGUGUCCCGCUUUUUUUGAAAUAAAAGGACGAGUGAGCCCCUCCUCGACGGGCGAAAGGGAAGCCGGUGCAGAUUCCGGCACCCGGUCGCGGGCGCGGCCCGAAAGAGGCCCUCUCCGGAGGACCUACGGGGCGACCCAAGGAGACUCGGCGACGUCGCCGCGGCCGCCGGGAAGAGUUGUCUUUUCUGCCUGAGCCUCGAACUCCCUGAAAGGCCGUCGCCGCGCGCAAGGGACGACGUGGCGAAGAGCGCCCCGCAUGGCCGUUGGCGCCGGGGCGUCCGGCGGGCCGCGGCGGCCCGUGAAAAGCCGAGCGAGGGCGACGAGGAGCGUCGCGCCGGUCCGUACCGAAUUUCCGCAGCAGGUCUCCGAAGUGCGCAGCCUCUGGUCGAUGGAGCAAUGUAGGUAAGGGAAGUCGGCAAACUGGAUCCGUAACUUCGGGAGAAGGAUUGGCUCUGAGGGUCGCGGCGGUCGGGCGCGGGGCUUGAAGCGGGAGCUGUCCGGAAGGCUGGCCUCAGGGUGGAGCCGGAAGGGCGCCUGCGGGUCCCCGUGCUAGUCGACCGAGGGCCCUGUUUUCAUCCCCUUUCCCUCAUUCCCGUCUCCCUUCCCCCCCUCCUCCGGGGGGUGGGAGUUGGGGGUGGGUCUUUGGGAGGGGUGUGAGGGGCCCCGUCAUGGCCGGACGUCGACCGCCACGAGGCGACCGCGUCAGAACUGGCACAGACCGAGGGAAUCCGACUGUUUAAUCGAAACAUAGCCUCGCGAGGGCCCCGGAGGGUGUUGACGCGAGGUGAUUUCUGCCCAGUGCUCUGAAUGUCAAGGUGAAGAAAUUCGGGGAAGCGCGGGUAAACGGCGGGAGUAACUAUGACUCUCUUAAGGUAGCCAAAUGCCUCGUCGCCUAAUUAGCGACGCGCAUGAAUGGAUUAACGAGAUUCCCGCUGUCCCUAUCUACUGUCUAGCGAACCCACACCCAAGGGCACGGGCUUGGGCAAAUCGGCGGGGAAAGAAGACCCUGUUGAGCUUGACUCUAGUCUGGCGCGCGGGGAGUCGCGGGGGGCGUAGCGUAGGUGGGAGGCGGGACAUCGGGGAACGUCGCAUUUACCCGUCCGCCGGCCCUCUCCUCGUCUUCGGGCGAGGGGAACGGUCGCGCGGCGCGGGGGUGCGCGCCCGCCCCGUCGCCGUUGAAACACCACCACCCCCGCUGUCUCCUCGCUCACCCGGUCGAGCGGGCAACGGCCGGCCCCCUCGCCUUUCCGAGAGGGGGGCUGUGGGGCCGGCGGCGUCGAGCGGUCCAAGGAACGAACCCCCGUCGUCCGGCGUCAUCGGUGUCGCUCGGGAGGUCGCGUGGCGCCCCGGGGUGUCGGGGGGGUUGGGUCGGGGGGGUUCGCCCUUCCCUAUCUUUUCCCCUUCGUUCCCCUCGGGGUCCGCCGCGUUGCCGAACGGCGCUCCGUAGCCGCGACCGGGUCCGACCCGAGCCGGGGAAGAGCGUCAGGCGGGGAGUUUGACUGGGGCGGUACAUCCGUCAAAAGGUAACGCGGGUGUCCCAAGGUCGGCUCCGGAGGGACGGAAACCCUCCGUGGAGCAGAAGGGCAAAAGCCGGCCUGCCCCCGGGCGUCGGCAGCGCUCGGGGCCGCGAGAGCGCGGCCUAGCGAUCCUUUCCGUCCCCCGAGUUUGGGGCGAGAGGUGUCGGAAAAGUUACCACAGGGAUAACUGGCUUGUGGCGGCCAAGCGUUCGUAGCGACGUCGCUUUUUGAUCCUUCGAUGUCGGCUCUUCCUAUCAUGGCGAAGCAGAAUUCGCCGAGCGUUGGAUUGUUCACCCACCAACAGGGAACGUGAGCUGGGUUUAGACCGUCGUGAGACAGGUUAGUUUUACCCUACCGAUGGCCGGUCGUUGCGACGGUAGGCUCGCCUAGUACGAGAGGAACCGCGGGCCCGGGCAUUUGGUUUGGCGCCCGGCCGAUCGGCCGAGGGCGCGAGGCCAAGCCCGCGGGCGAACGC
This 4143-nucleotide ribosomal RNA is filed under the name Parajapyx emeryanus. Its description in RNAcentral is "eukaryotic LSU rRNA". It matches the Rfam family "Eukaryotic large subunit ribosomal RNA". The record is from RNAcentral. Lineage: Eukaryota; Metazoa; Arthropoda; Diplura; Dicellurata; Parajapygidae.